UACGUAGGGUGCGAGCGUUGUCCGGAUUUAUUGGGCGUAAAGAGCUCGUAGGCGGCCUGUUGCGUCCGCUGUGAAAGCCCGGGGCUUAACCCCGGGUCGGCAGUGGAUACGGGCAGGCUAGAGGUAGGUAGGGGAGAAUGGAAUUCCCGGUGUAGCGGUGAAAUGCGCAGAUAUCGGGAGGAACACCGGUGGCGAAGGCGGUUCUCUGGGCCUUACCUGACGCUGAGGAGCGAAAGUGUGGGGAGCGAACAGG
This 253-nucleotide ribosomal RNA is filed under the name uncultured bacterium. RNAcentral's name for it is "partial 16S ribosomal RNA". It matches the Rfam family "Bacterial small subunit ribosomal RNA", at positions 524 to 776 of the family's 1533-position model. The record is from RNAcentral.